AUUUGUGCACGAUAUGACCCGAGGUGGUUAACGGUGGUCGUUGGAGAUGGUUGGCGGUGGUCGGAGGUGGACGAGGAGGACGAGGAUUUGU
Molecule: long non-coding RNA, 91 nt
Filed under: Neodiprion lecontei (redheaded pine sawfly)
Lineage: Eukaryota; Metazoa; Arthropoda; Insecta; Hymenoptera; Diprionidae
Description: uncharacterized LOC124294472, transcript variant X2
Source: RNAcentral